CUUCAAGCCAACAAAAACUAAUCUGCCAAUUCACAAAAGGGGAUAGUUAUAAUUGUCGUGAACACAAAAUUCAGUGUCACGGUGGAACUACUAUAUUUUCACAAUUGACAACUCUAAUCACAAAAAUUCUAAUCACAAAUACUCUUGGUUUUGCUCAAUCCAACUAAUACUCUCACCGGCAAAGCACGUCAUCAUCGUUUCUUUGGAAACAUCGCACGACAGUGUACAAAGGAUUUAGAUGAGUACGAAUAUAUCGGGAUUGGAAAGAUAAACAUCACACCCAAAUUCGAUUGGAAAGAUAACCCACCCCAUUUACCCAUCAAAAAUGCAAAUUGGGAUUUUCGGGGAAAAGGUUGUGUGCAUCCUUUUCUCUUCUCAAUAUAUAUAAAGAUUCUGAAGGUGUAUAUACCUCAAAUGGGUCAAGAUUUUCUAGAGCUUCGAUUAUCAGGUAUGCAACAAUAACCGAUGAUGUGUCAUUAAGUAGUCUUUUCAGCCGAUAACCGAUUGAAUCUAUCAAAGAAAAUUGACGUGAACAACUAAAAUCAUAACUCACAAUGCUAAAUAAAAGUUAUCUGAUUUUCUUUUCUUAUAUGAGACAGGUUUUGUUUACUCAUGUUUAUGAUUUUUUUUAUUAUAUUUUGUUUCCAGGAAAUUUCUUAUGGUUAUAAGAAAAUAUGCUACUUAUAAUAUCCAGGUUUCUGGUAUGGAUCAACUUUUGGGAUAGAUCUCUAAUUUUAUAUCUUACCUAAACAUAUUUAAUUAAACUGGUGCCUCGAUGAUAUUUUGAAGCCUAUUAUACAUUAUUUCUGUUAAAUGGAUAACAAACUAUCAACUUGAAACUGAGGAUGUUGGCUGAAUAGAAGUGAGAAACAUGUUGGUCUAAAAAUAAUUAUGGAGUCAUCAAAUUGAUAAUGGACUUUAUUGAAUUGGAUAUUAGCAAACCAAUUUGCAAAAUUACUGUACAAAAAACUUAUAAAAUGGUUGUCUAGUCAUUGGAUUUACAAUGAUCUAGAUUGAAUUGGGAAUACACAUGUAAAAUUGCAAGUUCAGUGCCUUCAAAUAAUUCAUUUGUUAUAUUUUGUGGAUAGAGAUGAGCAGGAUUAACAUACAUUUUCAGAGAAAAGGUCCCACAACAGCAUUGACCAAAUUAUCAAUCAGAGAAAUCAAAUUAUCAAUCAGAGAAAGCAAAGGAGAUGAAUUUGUGAAGAUAUAGGACUAAAAUGAAAAUACCAUAUUUUAUUAACAAGGCAACCGACACUUACCUAUGAUUUAAAUCCUCUUUGGCUUUAACGGCCAACAUUUACUCCAUCAAUAAUAGCUUCAAAUGGCCCAUAAUAAUCAAGUUAUUUCUACAGUCAAACAUUUGUUUUACCCUUAUUAAAGACACAAAUAAUAUAUAUACUGUUUGAAGUCAUGGUCAGUAAUGAAGCAGUAGCAGCUACAUAUACCAUAGAAAAUGUUAGUAUGUAAUAAUAAGAUUGAUCCUUAAAGAUAAGACUAUAAAAUCUGCAAUAUAUCACUCAUGGGUCAUAUACAUCUGUUUCUAUCGAAAAAGCAGUUCACCCACAUCUUCUGAGAACUAACUAUCCCUAAUCCAGCACCCGAAUCAUCCAAAAACAAUUUAGAGUUACAAAACUUCUUGACGAUUCUUUCAAUUGUAUAAUUUGAGUUAACCUUUGGUAGUUUGAUUAAUUUCCAUGAGGGAUUACAGGGGAAGCAUUUACAAAGCCAUUAAUGUAGUGUUUGUAGUUUUUGGUUUUAUAUUGCGUGUGUAGUAUAUCUUGCUUCUUUAUUUUCAUUUAUGAAUUCCUCUCUUAGAUUUCAGCCUUUGCUUGUAGAGAAUUGCUUAGAGGACCUCUAUGUGAUGGUUUAGUCUUAAUUUUGAGUGCAUUUCACUUUUGGCGUGAAUCAACGGUUGAAGUAAAUUCAUUAGCAAUGAUGGGUGGCGGUGAUGGUAAGAGCUAACUUUUGUAUCUCACUAGGUCUAUGAUUGCUUCGUUUGAUUAUCACUGUGAAAGCAGUAAAACUUUUUGUAUGGUAUUUUCUACUCAAUCCAAUCCAAAUUUUCUUUGAUUUUGCUUUGCUACAAAAUCCAUAACAAAAACAAGAAAAAAGAUUCAAUUAACAUUCUUCAACUUUGUCUAUAUAUGAAAAGGGUAAAAUUGCAUUGUUCAAAAUUUGAUUCAACAUAUAGUCACAGGUUCUCUUUCUUUUCCUUAUCUCAUUUUCCAAUCUCUUCUUCAUAUUAUCUUCCUUCUUUUCCUAAACGUGGCGGUGUUCUAUUGCAUCUCAAAAAUGGCAGCAAUGUGUACCUCUUUUUGUGCUGGAGUUUUUUUGUAAUUACAGAUAUUUCUGCUGGCAACCAUAUUUAUAUAUCCUUCUAUUAUUUUUUGAGUAUUAAGAUAUAUAUUGACCGACUGAAUACACAAUUUCUGUCAUGAUCAGUGAUCUGAUAGUGUCGGUCCAAAACUGAUGACCAACAACUUGCAACUGUGAUAUGUUUUUAAUUAUAAUGUGCUUUGACAUACCCAUGACUGAAUGAAAAUGAAAACGAAAGGACAGGGCAGAAUUUUGUGUUGUCGCCCCACUGAAAAUGCACUUCACUCUUGAGCACGAGUAUAACUUGCAAAAGGUUGGAGUUUAGCGUGAUCGAUGUUUGGAGUUAAAUUAAUAAUUUUCUAAAUAUCAAUAAUAAUCGAAUACAAUACAGAGCUCGAUCUAUCAAUUUCAUAAAAUUGCAAAGAUGGAUAUAACUUAGUUUUCUGUUUCCAUGCUCAUCUUCAUUGUUUUCUGCAUUGGUUUACACACUGCUAAAAGGAAAUUUUACUCAGGUGUAUGCACAAAGACACUUCUUCGACGGUAAGACGGGAUUUGGCAUUUAAGGUCUGGAAGCAUUAUGAAGGCUUGAUCUGUCAUUUGAUGAUCAAAUGCAUCAGCCAAUUGGUAGAGCUCUAUCCUUCACCAAAAAAAAAAAAAAAAUUGAUAGAGCUUUAUAUUCAGAUGUGCAUGAUAUAUCUGUUGCAGUUAGAAUAGGGCAGAUGAAGUAUUACAAAAAUGUUUUUAAAGAUAAAUGCGUAGAGGUUCUUCAGCGAUUUUUUCUUGGAUCAAUUUGAAUUGGAUCAUUAAAGAUCUUUCUAGAUUAUUUGUUGAAGGAUAGAGCAUCUCAUGAUCUUCAAUUCCGUCAACAUUGCAACUUAGGACUUCUGAUCUUUGUGUCUGCAAACAUUGCAAGCUUUAAACUUCUGAAAAAAGGCUUUAUAAAAUUUGAAAAUGAACAGUGUUAAACUACUUUCUGUGGCAGCAUUAUGUGUACUCCAUAUAUUGUUUAAAUUGCGACAUCAAGAUGAGUCUAAAGAAUGUCAAGGUUCUCAUUUACAACUGAAACAAUUAUUGAAAUGCAUUCUUUGAGGGCUUAUGGGUCAAGGGCUUUGCGAGAGAUCAAGCGCAUUCGUUGAGGACUGAACUAGGAGUUGCAGUUGGAGGAUUGAAGCACUCACAAGUGGAGGCAUAAAAAAUGAGCCUGUUGUAGGAAACACUCCUAAUGAAGAGUUCAACAAUACAUGAGGAUGUAAUACAGAGUUAAUAUACAUAUAGAAGUGAUUCUUUUUAAAUACUUGAUAAUAAUCUCUCAAGCACAUAUUACUGCCAAACCUGAUGUAAAUGAUUGAUUAUGUAUUUUAAAUUUCUUUAGUAGAGUUUUUGGA
This is an RNA transcript of Lycium barbarum (goji berry), 3704 nucleotides long. RefSeq lists it as uncharacterized. The record is from RefSeq and is a predicted model, not a curated record. Lineage: Eukaryota; Viridiplantae; Streptophyta; Magnoliopsida; Solanales; Solanaceae. The transcript is spliced from 3 exons.